This 898-nucleotide ribosomal RNA is filed under the name Psathyrella vernalis. RNAcentral describes it as "eukaryotic LSU rRNA". It matches the Rfam family "Eukaryotic large subunit ribosomal RNA", at positions 62 to 946 of the family's 3401-position model. Lineage: Eukaryota; Fungi; Basidiomycota; Agaricomycetes; Agaricales; Psathyrellaceae. The record is from RNAcentral.
AAACUAACAAGGAUUCCCCUAGUAACUGCGAGUGAAGCGGGAAAAGCUCAAAUUUAAAAUCUGGUGGUCUUUGGCCAUCCGAGUUGUAAUCUAGAGAAGUGUUACCCGCGUCGGACCGUGUACAAGUCUCCUGGAAUGGAGCGUCAUAGAGGGUGAGAAUCCCGUCUUUGACACGGACUACCGAGGCUUUGUGGUGCGCUCUCAAAGAGUCGAGUUGUUUGGGAAUGCAGCUCAAAAUGGGUGGUAAAUUCCAUCUAAAGCUAAAUAUUGGCGAGAGACCGAUAGCGAACAAGUACCGUGAGGGAAAGAUGAAAAGAACUUUGGAAAGAGAGUUAAACAGUACGUGAAAUUGCUGAAAGGGAAACGCUUGAAGUCAGUCGCGUUGGCCGGAAAUCAGCCUUGCUUUUGCUGGGUGUACUUUCUGGUUGACGGGCCAGCAUCAGUUUUGACCGGUGGAAAAAGUCUAGAGGAAUGUGGCAUCUUCGGAUGUGUUAUAGCCUUUGGUCGUAUACAUCGGUUGGGAUUGAGGAACUCAGCACGCCGAAAGGCCGGGUCUUUGACCACGUUCGUGCUUAGGAUGCUGGCAUAAUGGCUUUAAUCGACCCGUCUUGAAACACGGACCAAGGAGUCUAACAUGCCUGCGAGUGUUUGGGUGGAAAACCCGGACGCGCAAUGAAAGUGAAAGUUGAGAUCCUUGUCAUGGGGAGCAUCGACGCCCGGACCAGACGUUUUCUGACGGCCCUGCGGUAGAGCAUGUAUGUUGGGACCCGAAAGAUGGUGAACUAUGCCUGAAUAGGGUGAAGCCAGAGGAAACUCUGGUGGAGGCUCGUAGCGAUUCUGACGUGCAAAUCGAUCGUCAAAUUUGGGUAUAGGGGCGAAAGACUAAUCGAACCAUCUA